GACGAACGCUGGCGGCGUGCCUAAUACAUGCAAGUCGAACGGAAAGGCGCUGCGCUUGUUGGGUGCUCGAGAGGCGCACGGGGGAGUAAAACGUGAGUAACCUGUACUUGUCUUAGGGGUAACACCAGGAAGAUGGGGCUAUUAUAGCAUAGGAGAUCUUGCUGCGUGUGGGGGGUUGGAGAGAUUCGGCGGUGGGGGAUGGACUCGCGGCUUACCAGCUUGAUGGUGGGGUAGUGGCGUACCAAGGUUUUGACGGGUAGGCGGCCUGAGAGGGUGACCGGCCACAUUGGGACUGAGAUACGGCGCAGACGCCUACGGGAGGCAGCAGGGGGGAACAUUGCACAAUGGGCGGAAGCCUGAUGCAGCAACGCCGCGUGCGUGAUGACGGCCUUCGGGUUGUAAACCGCUUUCGCCGGUGACGAAGCGUGAGUGACGGUAAUGGGUAAAGAAGCACCGGCUAACUACGUG
This 468-nucleotide ribosomal RNA is filed under the name uncultured bacterium. RNAcentral's name for it is "partial 16S ribosomal RNA". It matches the Rfam family "Bacterial small subunit ribosomal RNA", at positions 28 to 507 of the family's 1533-position model. The record is from RNAcentral.